UACGGGGGGGGUAAGCGUUGUUCGGAAUUACUGGGCGUAAAGGGCUCGUAGGCGGCCAACUAAGUCGGACGUGAAAUCCCUCAGCUUAACUGGGGAACUGCGUCCGAUACUGGAUGGCUUGGAUUUGGGAGAGGGAUGCGGAAUUCCAGGUGUAGCGGUGAAAUGCGUAGAUAUCUGGAGGAACACCGGUGGCGAAGGCGGCAUCCUGGACCAACAUUGACGCUGAGGCGCGAAAGCCAGGGGAGCAAACAGG
RNAcentral lists this ribosomal RNA (253 nucleotides) under uncultured bacterium. RNAcentral's name for it is "partial 16S ribosomal RNA". It matches the Rfam family "Bacterial small subunit ribosomal RNA", at positions 524 to 776 of the family's 1533-position model. The record is from RNAcentral.